GAAUGGAAGAUUCUUUCUCUCUCUAGAUUUUAUUUUCUCUUCUUUGUUCCCCUCCACUCCUACUCUCGAUUUUGAUCGAUUCUCAUACUUAUAAUUGAAUCAUACCUCAAUUCAAAACCCUAGCUGCACUUGCUCUCGUUGCAUCAAAUUUUUACAGGUGGUGGCAAUGUCAACUCCUGCGAGAAAGAGAUUGAUGAGAGAUUUUAAGAGGUUGCAACAAGAUCCACCUGCAGGGAUAAGUGGAGCACCCCAAGACAACAACAUAAUGCUUUGGAAUGCUGUGAUUUUUGGCCCUGAUGACACUCCUUGGGAUGGAGGCACAUUCAAGUUGACUUUACAGUUUACUGAGGAUUAUCCAAACAAACCACCAACAGUGCGAUUUGUAUCUCGAAUGUUCCAUCCAAAUAUUUACGCAGAUGGAAGUAUCUGUUUGGAUAUUUUACAAAAUCAGUGGAGUCCUAUAUAUGAUGUGGCUG
RNAcentral lists this unclassified non-coding RNA (476 nucleotides) under Hevea brasiliensis (rubber tree). The record is from RNAcentral. Lineage: Eukaryota; Viridiplantae; Streptophyta; Magnoliopsida; Malpighiales; Euphorbiaceae.